Molecule: transfer RNA, 85 nt
Filed under: Felis catus (domestic cat)
Lineage: Eukaryota; Metazoa; Chordata; Mammalia; Carnivora; Felidae
Also listed under: 2 other names
Rfam family: tRNA
About the family: Transfer RNA (tRNA) molecules are approximately 80 nucleotides in length.
Source: Rfam by way of RNAcentral
GCCUGGGUGGCUCAGUCGGUUGAGCGUCUGACUUUGGCUCAGGUCAUGAUCUCACAGCUCGUGAGUUCAAGCCCCGCGUCAGGCU